AUGAACGCUGGCGGCGUGCCUAAUACAUGCAAGUCGAACGAAACUUCUUUAUCACCGAGUGCUUGCACUCACCGAUAAAGAGUUGAGUGGCGAACGGGUGAGUAACACGUGGGCAACCUGCCCAAAAGAGGGGGAUAACACUUGAAAAAAGGUGCUAAAACCCCAUAACCAUAGUUACCCCAGGGUAACUUGUUAAAGGUGGCCUAUAUACCGCCUUUUGAAUGGCCCGGGGCGCAUUUGCUAGUUGGUAGGGUAAAGGCUUUACAAGGCAAUGAUGCGUAGCCGAAUUGAGAGGUUGAUCGGCCACAUUGGGACUGAGACACGGCCCAAACUCCUACGGGAGGCAGCAGUAGGGAAUCUUCCACAAUGGGCGAAAGCCUGAUGGAGCAACGCCGCGUGGGUGAAGAAGGUCUUCGGAUCGUAAAACCCUGUUGUUAGAGAAGAAAGUGCGUGAGAGUAACUGUUCACGUUUCGACGGUAUCUAACCAGAAAGCCACUGCUAACUACGUG
This 510-nucleotide ribosomal RNA is filed under the name uncultured bacterium. RNAcentral's name for it is "partial 16S ribosomal RNA". It matches the Rfam family "Bacterial small subunit ribosomal RNA", at positions 29 to 507 of the family's 1533-position model. The record is from RNAcentral.